RNAcentral lists this ribosomal RNA (675 nucleotides) under Triticum aestivum (bread wheat). RNAcentral describes it as "partial small subunit ribosomal RNA". The record is from RNAcentral. Lineage: Eukaryota; Viridiplantae; Streptophyta; Magnoliopsida; Poales; Poaceae.
AUGCGGACGAGUGGUGCUGAUGGAUUCAGUGCAGCUUCUUCUGCUCAUAUCGCCGCUCUCGGUAGCGCCACCACGACGGCGGUCUCCGCCGAGCACUUUCCUAAGGUCAUCGGAAGGAAGGUGUACUACAGAUCCGAAUCAUCCUGUCAGGAAAGCGAUCUACCGUCGGAUCCGGAGCAUGACCCCAGACUCCCGCAACACGAGUUCGACUCUGAGUUUUGCGCCACCGAGAAGUACCAAAAGCUGAGUUGUGUUCAUGGGCACACUCCCCCUCGACGUGUAUGCACAGAGGGAUUCAACAUUGGCAGGCGGUUUCUCAGUUGCCCCUUAGAGAAUGGCAUGGCAGGGCUCAGAGUGUUGCUAUCACCAAGCUCGCAGAAGAUGAUAACGCGAUGGCGAUCACAUGAAUCCUUCAGUUGGAACAUUUCAGGCGAUGGCGCUGGUCGUGCCGUCAUGGUAGGAGGCGCUCCAUCGAGGAGGCACCACUGGUGCCCUGGCAUCAAAAGAGCUGCAGCCAGGGAUGAGACGAGGAUAUGCCGUCAGACUGCCUCUUCCCCUUCACGUGUGAGCUCCUUCUUUCACUCCCUCGAUUCACAUCUUCUCCUGCUCCCUCUCACUUGCUGCCCCUCCAUCCCCGACGGAUCCACAACGCUGGAAGCUGGUGGGGCGAGGUAG